This 305-nucleotide ribosomal RNA is filed under the name uncultured bacterium. Its description in RNAcentral is "partial 16S ribosomal RNA". It matches the Rfam family "Bacterial small subunit ribosomal RNA", at positions 508 to 808 of the family's 1533-position model. The record is from RNAcentral.
ACAGCAGUCGCCGCGGUAAUACAGAAGAUGCAAGCGUUAUCCGGAAUGAUUGGGCGUAAAGCGUCUGUAGGUGGCUAUUCAAGUCCACCGCCAAAUCCCAGGGCUCAACCCUGGACAGGCGGUGGAAACUACCAAGCUAGAGUACGGUAGGGGCAGAGGGAAUUUCCGGUGGAGCAGUGAAAUGCGUUGAGAUUGGAAAGAACACCAACGACGAAAGCAUUCUGUUGGGCUGAAACUGACACUGAGAGACGAAAGCUAGGGGAGCAAACGGGAUUAGAUACCCGCGUAGUCCCUGUCUCUUUACA